AUGAAUUGAAAGGGAGUUGAUGCUGGCCAGGUCUCUUGGCAUGUGCUCGCUUCCGACAAUCUUAUCCAUACACCUGUGCACACUGUGAGGGCACGAAAGUGCCCUUAUUUACUACAUACACCUAAUUUGGAAAUCGCACGUGACUUGCGUCGUAUGGCGCUUAAAUAAAUAC
Molecule: unclassified non-coding RNA, 172 nt
Filed under: Lactarius chrysorrheus
Lineage: Eukaryota; Fungi; Basidiomycota; Agaricomycetes; Russulales; Russulaceae
Description: ITS1
Source: RNAcentral